GCACCUGCCGGCGGGGAGGGAGAGCCGUGGGCCCCGGCCCCUGACCACUCCCGGCUUGGCCCCCACUCCUUCCCCCUACUCCCAGGUCCAGCUACCACCCCAGCCCCAUGGGCAGAGGGCAGGGAUGCCAGGCAGGGGUGCAGUGGCGCUCCCUCUCUGCCCCUGACCACUCCCAGCCCGGCCCCCACUCUUCCCCCUACCCCCAGGUCCAGCUACCAUCCCAUCCCCAUGGGCAGAGGGCAGGGAUGCCAGGCAGGGGUGCAGUGGCGCUCCCUCUCUGCCCCUGACCACUCCCAGCCCGGCCCCCACUCCUUCCCCCUACCUCCAGGUCCAGCUACCAUCCCAUCCCCAUGGGCAGAGGGCAGGGAUGCCAGGCAGGGGUGCAGCGGCGCUCCCUCUCUGGCCCUGACCACUCCCGGCCUGGCCCCCACUCUUCCCCCUACCCCCAGGUCCAGCUACCACCCCAGCCCCAUGGGCAGAGGGCAGGGAUGCCAGGCAGGGGUGCAGUGGCGCUCCCUCUCUGCCCCUGACCACUCCCAGCCCGGCCCCCACUCCUUCCCCCUACCUCCAGGUCCAGCUACCAUCCCAUCCCCAUGGGCAGAGGGCAGGGAUGCCAGGCAGGGGUGCAGCGGCGCUCCCUCUCUGCCCCUGACCACUCCCGGCCUGGCCCCCACUCUUCCCC
Molecule: long non-coding RNA, 682 nt
Organism: Gopherus flavomarginatus (Mexican gopher tortoise)
Lineage: Eukaryota; Metazoa; Chordata; Testudines; Testudinidae
Exons: 5
Source: RefSeq, a predicted model, not a curated record